UNGUCUGUGAAAUUCCGGGGCUUAACUCCGGGCGUGCNGGCGAUACGGGCACGACUAGAGUGCUGUAGGGGUAACUGGAAUUCCUGGUGUAGCGGUGAAAUGCGCAGAUNUCAGGAGGAACACCGAUGGCGAAGGCAGGUUACUGGGCAGUUACUGACGCUGAGGAGCGAAAGCAUGGGGAGCGAACAGGAUUAGAUACCCUGGUAGUCCAUGCUGUAGACGGUGGGCGCUAGGUGUGGGCUGUGUGUUUGCAGUCUGUGCCGUAGCUAACGCAUUAAGCGCCCCGCCUGGGGAGUACGGCCGCAAGGCUAAAACUCAAAGGAAUUGACGGGGGCCCGCACAAGCGGCGGAGCAUGUGGAUUAAUUCGAUGCAACGCGAAGAACCUUACCUGGGUUUGACAUGCACCAGAUCGGCGUAGAGAUACGUCCUCCCUUGUGGUUGGUGCACAGGUGGUGCAUGGUUGUCGUCAGCUCGUGUCGUGAGAUGUUGGGUUAAGUCCCGCAACGAGCGCAACCCUUGUCUUAUGUUGCCAGCACAUUUUUGGUGGGGACUCAUGAGAAACUGCCGGGGUCAACUCGGAGGAAGGUGGGGAUGACGUCAAAUCAUCAUGCCCUUUAUACCCAGGGCUUCACACAUGCUACAAUGGUCGGUACAACGGGUUGCGACACUGUGAAGUGAAGCUAAUCUCUGAAAGCCGGCCUCAGUUCGGAUUGGGGUCUGCAACUCGACCCCAUGAAGUCGGAGUCGCUAGUAAUCGCAGAUCAGCAACGCUGCGGUGAAUACGUUCCCGGGCCUUGUACACACCGCCCGUCACGUCAUGAAAGUUGGUAACACCCGAAGCCCAUGGCCUAACCACCACCUGUGGUGGGGGGAGU
Molecule: ribosomal RNA, 876 nt
Filed under: uncultured bacterium
Lineage: Bacteria
Description: bacterial SSU rRNA
Rfam family: Bacterial small subunit ribosomal RNA
Source: RNAcentral